UGGGGAAUAUUGGACAAUGGGCGAAAGCCUGAUCCAGCAAUGCCGCGUGUGCGAUGAAGGCCUGAGGGUUGUAAAGCACUUUCGUUGGGGAAGAAAUACUUAAAAUUAAUACCUUUAAGGGUUGACGUUACCCAAAGAAGAAGCACCGGCUAACUCUGUGCCAGCAGCCGCGGUAAUACAGAGGGUGCAAGCGUUAAUCGGAGUUACUGGGCGUAAAGGGCGCGUAGGCGGAUAUUUAAGUCGGAUGUGAAAUCCCUGGGCUUAACCUAGGAAUUGCAUUCGAUACUGGAUGUCUAGAGUAUGGCAGAGGAAAGCGGAAUUCCCGGUGUAGUGGUAAAAUACGUAGAUAUCGGGAGGAACACCAGUGGCGAAGGCGGCUUUCUGGUCCAAUACUGACGCUGAGGCGCGAAAGCGUGGGGAGCAAACAGG
RNAcentral lists this ribosomal RNA (429 nucleotides) under uncultured bacterium. RNAcentral's name for it is "bacterial SSU rRNA". It matches the Rfam family "Bacterial small subunit ribosomal RNA", at positions 355 to 776 of the family's 1533-position model. The record is from RNAcentral.